This 490-nucleotide ribosomal RNA is filed under the name uncultured bacterium. Its description in RNAcentral is "partial 16S ribosomal RNA". It matches the Rfam family "Bacterial small subunit ribosomal RNA", at positions 30 to 507 of the family's 1533-position model. The record is from RNAcentral.
AUUGAACGCUGGCGGCAGGCCUAACACAUGCAAGUCGAACGGUAACAGGAAACAGCUUGCUGUUUCGCUGACGAGUGGCGGACGGGUGAGUAAUGUCUGGGAAACUGCCUGCUGGAGGGGGAUAACUACUGGAAACGGUAGCUAAUACCGCAUAACGUCGCAAGACCAAAGAGGGGGACCUUCGGGCCUCUUGCCAUCGGAUGUGCCCAGAUGGGAUUAGCUAGUAGGUGGGGUAACGGCUCACCUAGGCGACGAUCCCUAGCUGGUCUGAGAGGAUGACCAGCCACACUGGAACUGAGACACGGUCCAGACUCCUACGGGAGGCAGCAGUGGGGAAUAUUGCACAAUGGGCGCAAGCCUGAUGCAGCCAUGCCGCGUGUAUGAAGAAGGCCUUCGGGUUGUAAAGUACUUUCAGCGGGGAGGAAGGGAGUAAAGUUAAUACCUUUGCUCAUUGACGUUACCCGCAGAAGAAGCACCGGCUAACUCCGUG